AACAGUCCAGAGGCUUGUUGUCCUUGCACACGUCUCUUGUGUAAGUCAGGGAUAUCAGUGUCAUUAUUUUUGGGUGAGCCUCUUGUGCUUCUUCUUCACCAGAGGUUCAGUAAAUGAUGCUACAUUC
Molecule: small nucleolar RNA, 127 nt
Organism: Andrographis paniculata
Lineage: Eukaryota; Viridiplantae; Streptophyta; Magnoliopsida; Lamiales; Acanthaceae
Product: small nucleolar RNA snoR74
Exons: 1
Source: RefSeq, a predicted model, not a curated record